Molecule: long non-coding RNA, 2458 nt
Filed under: Sus scrofa (pig)
Lineage: Eukaryota; Metazoa; Chordata; Mammalia; Artiodactyla; Suidae
Description: lncRNA (ENSSSCG00015074161.1)
Source: RNAcentral
CUCAUGGCCAUGCCGGAUCCUUAACCCACUGAGCAAGGCCAGGGAUUGAACCUGCAUCCUCAUGGAUACUGGUUGGGUUUAUAACCUGCUGAGGCGUAACAGGAACGCCUCCCCUGCUUUUGUAAAAGACAGCACUGAAUUCAUUCCCCACCAACUCGGCCAGCUGUGAGAACAGGAUGAUAAUUUAAAGAAGAACCAGGGUGGGAGGGUCGAUUAGGGAGCACGGGGCCCUGCAGCAGAGCAGAAAGCACAGGCCGAAUGCUGACCUGGGAUGGCACAGGGCCAGUUACCUAACACUUGGUCUGCCCAUCUCUUGGUUUUUCUAGAGAAGCCAGAAUUCCAGAUUUUUAUGCUAAAGUUCAUGCUUUUUAAAUGCUGGAAGAUACCAUGCGAGCCAGGUUAGUCGGAGGGCCCAGGCUGGUCCUUCAGCAACGACACUCAAACCUGGCUCCGUUCCGAACCAGAAGGCCUGAACCGUCCACACGAGCAGCCCGACAGAGGAGGAGGCAGCGGCCCAUUUCUGCAGAAUGCGUCUGCCUCCAGUCCACAAGCAAGGUCUAGCACACCAUCAAAAACCACAAGGCACAGCGUUUUUAGCAAAGAAACCCUCCAAAAACCACAAGGCACAGCGUUUUUAGCAAAGAAACCCUCCAAACGGUGAGUGGAAAGGCACAGACCCUGGUCUUUUCGUGCAACGGGCCGUCACUUAGAGACGAAAAGGAAAAACAUGGAUGCCUCUCGAAUGCACUGCAUGAAGUGAGAGAAGCCAGGCACAAGGACCACCUGCCACGCGAUUCCACUUACGUGGUAUCUGGAAAAGGCAAAACCCCUAGCAGUUGUUUUGGAAUAACGAACGGAGUGGAAUAAAGAAGAGGACUGACUACAGACACCCAAAGAAAUGAAAGGCAGCAACAGAACCGUUCGGUAACUUUUUUUUUCUUCAUCUUUUUAGGGCCUCACUUGUGGCAUAUGGAAAUUCCCAGGCUAGGGGUCGAAUUGCAGCUACAGCUGCCGGCCUACGCCACAGCCACGGCACUGUAGGAUCCGAGCCACAUCUAUGACCUGCACCACAGCUCAUAGCAAUGCCAGGUCCUUAACCCACUGAGAGAGGCCACAGAUCAAACCCGCAUCCUCUUGGAUUCUAACUGGAUUCGUUUCUGCUGAGCCAUGAUGGGAACGCCCCAUUUGGUACCUUAAUUGCAUUGGUGUUGACAUGACCAUAUAAGAUUGUCAAAAUUCUUAAUGUAUAGUAUUGUACACCUAAAAGGGUCCAUUGUAAAUUCUACCUCAGUCAUCUGGAGGCAAAAAAAGAAUGUUCUGGCCAUGGAGGAGGAGCUCCGUGGGUAACAGCUUAAUAACUGCACCCAAGUCCUAGUUACGCAUCAAUUACUGAACUGCUGGUUUAUCUCCCUGAACCCUCCCCACGACCCAAGGGGUAGCUUCCAUCAAUGUCUUACAUACAAAAUCAGCCAUCAAAGAGGCAACGUGAGCUGCCCAAGCUCACACAGCAGUGAGCAGGAGAGCUGGGGCUGUCCAGGCAUGUCCGACUCCCUAGCAUAUGCUCAUGGGGAAGCAACGCCAGGCCCUAGAGCUUGCAACAUGAGGUCUGCAGGCCCAAGGGCAGGCUGGGGGUUCCCCACUGGGUUUCUGGCACCCAGCACAGUGCCUUGAUCCUACAAGGGGCCAUACACCAAAUAGCCUUGGAAGCAGAUGGCCGGGGGACAGAACUCAGCUCAGCCACCUCCUAGCUGGAUGACCCAAGGUGACCCGUCUCCUGAUCUUCAGUUUCACCUGGAGAUGAAACAAAAUAUAUAUGCAAGAUGACCAGCCAGUAUCUGGCACAUAGUAGGUGCCCAAGAAACAGAGUUACAGUGGCAGCUGCUGUAUAUACAUCACAGUACCAGCCUCUGUGCUGCCCGCGUCCUUCACGCCAAACAGUCUGGACACUUAUCUGAAUAUGUAUUCACUGUUCCUGCCUCCAAGCCUGUGCUAGAAGUUUCUUCUACGCAGCGUGCUGUCCCACCAGCCUUCUCUACUUCCAACUGUGGCUUCGAGGCAAACGCAAGCAAAACCUCCUCUCCCGUUGGGAAUUCAAUCUCACCAAUAAGGACAAGGAAGGGCGGGAAGGCUCCAUGCUGUCCCCACCGAGACCGCCAGGCUCCCGCACACACACACUUAGACGCCCAGCAAAGCAGACACUAGACCAUGGACGGGAGCAGAAACUGCCUCCCGUCCCUGGGGUUACCAGCCUUGGGAGGUGGGCUGAGGAGGGACAGUCAGCUGACCAAAGAGGCAAGACCCGUGUCUGUCUCCAUCUGCUGUCCGGAGCUGACGAGGCGCUCCCGGGAAACACCCCCAGCCCAGCCCCUGGAAGAUCUGGCGUAAGAGAAAGGGAGCUGGACUGAGCUCUAGAGAUGUGGGUUCGAGUCCUGCCUCUGCCACCCCUCGGCCGGCCUGC